AUUGAACGCUGGCGGAAUGCUUUACACAUGCAAGUCGAACGAUGAACCUUAGCUUGCUAAGGGAAUUAGUGGCGAACGGGUGAGUAAUGUAUCGGAACGUAUCCAAUAAUGGGGGAUAACUAGUCGAAAGAUUAGCUAAUACCGCAUACGUCCUACGGGAGAAAGCUAGGGACCUUCGGGCCUGGCGUUAAUGGAGCGGCCGAUAUCUGAUUAGCUAGUUGGUGGGGUAAAGGCUCACCAAGGCGACGAUCAGUAGCUGGUCUGAGAGGACGACCAGCAACACUGGAACUGUGACACGGUCCAGACUCCUACGGGAGGCAGCAGUGGGGAAGUUUUGACAAUGGGCGCAAGCCUGAUCCAGCCAUUCCGCGUGAGUGAAGAAGGCCUUCGGGUCGUAAAGCUCUUUCGCAAGGGAAGAAAACUUAAGCUCUAACAUAGCUUGAGGUUGACGGUACCUUGAUAAGAAGCACCGGCUAACUACGUGCCAGCCGCCGCCGUAA
This 500-nucleotide ribosomal RNA is filed under the name uncultured bacterium. Its description in RNAcentral is "partial 16S ribosomal RNA". It matches the Rfam family "Bacterial small subunit ribosomal RNA", at positions 30 to 523 of the family's 1533-position model. The record is from RNAcentral.